GGUUCCACCAGUUUGCAGAGGCACCCUGGGCAAGGAGAACACGGAAUUUUCAUCCAUGGAGAGCUGCUCCCAAGGUGCCUGAUGCUCAUAGUGAGAUCUUGGCCAGAUCCUUUCACAUGGCACAACUGGAAUUUUAACCCCAAGGACAGCAGCUGGGACAGAAAGCUGACCCAGAUCAGAAACCCUCACUCUGUCCUUGCCCUUUCCUCACUGCACAGAACUGGAGUCAGCUCGUGGAAUUCACCUGGGAGAACAGGAAAGAUUGGUUCCAUGAAGUGCUAAGAGAGUAUGGAAAAAAAAAAAUCAUUAAAAGCAGGAGUCAGGAGAACCAUGCCUCCAGCAUUUCCACCUUUGUCCCAUUGCCUAACAAUUGUGGGGACCAACUAAUAUCUCCCUCCUGGCUCUAAAGAGAAAGGGCAGACAGAAAAGUGCUCCCUGUGUCCAGCUGACCUUUCUGUGAGCUGCCCUCCAUUUAAAGUCUGGAGUUAAAAAAUGCCAGGCAACAACCUAAAACCCAAAGUCCACCAAAAUCAAUAGAAACUUGGACCCAUAAAUGUGUCACUGAAAUGUUGACUCUGGUGCCUUGUUUCCCUCUCUGGAACAAUUUGCAAAAGAUGUGAAAGAGGAAGGAAAAGCAGAAUGAGGGGGGAAGUGAAUAGCUGACUGUGCCUACUGCAAGGGUCUGCAGUUUUGGGUGAAAAAAUAAAGGGGGGAAGAAAGGGAAACAGAGGGUGACACAUAAGAAGCAUUAAAAAAUGUUGAUUCAGUGUUAUUUUAACUGCUGGCAAUAAAAAAAGUCUUUGGAGGUCUGA
Molecule: long non-coding RNA, 812 nt
Organism: Parus major (Great Tit)
Lineage: Eukaryota; Metazoa; Chordata; Aves; Passeriformes; Paridae
Exons: 2
Source: RefSeq, a predicted model, not a curated record